This 305-nucleotide ribosomal RNA is filed under the name uncultured bacterium. RNAcentral describes it as "bacterial SSU rRNA". It matches the Rfam family "Bacterial small subunit ribosomal RNA", at positions 334 to 656 of the family's 1533-position model. The record is from RNAcentral.
GUACCCUACGGGACGCAGCAGUGGGGAAUAUUGCACAAUGGGGGGAACCCUGAUGCAGCGACGCCGCGUGGGCGAUGGAGUAUUUCGGUAUGUAAAGCCCUAUCGGCAGGGAAGAAGCUGACGGUACCUGACUAAGAAGCCCCGGCUAAAUACGUGCCAGCAGCCGCGGUAAUACGUAUGGGGCAAGCGUUAUCCGGAUUUACUGGGUGUAAAGGGAGCGUAGGCGGCCUGGCAAGCCUGAUGUGAAAUACCGGGGCCCAACCCCGGGGCUGCAUUGGGAACUGCCAGGCUGGAGUGCCGGAGAG